Molecule: non-coding RNA, 27 nt
Filed under: Rattus norvegicus (Norway rat)
Lineage: Eukaryota; Metazoa; Chordata; Mammalia; Rodentia; Muridae
Source: RNAcentral
UGAUACGAACGAACCAUCAGAACCACA